Molecule: long non-coding RNA, 436 nt
Organism: Solanum stenotomum
Lineage: Eukaryota; Viridiplantae; Streptophyta; Magnoliopsida; Solanales; Solanaceae
Exons: 2
Source: RefSeq, a predicted model, not a curated record
AGUAAAUUAUAUUAUCAAAGUAAAAAUUUAAAAAGAACUCUAUUUUCUUAAAACAAUGGUCAUAAGAUGCUGCCCUAAUCUCGAUGUCUCUCUUCAGAUCGCUCUUGUUUUUCCAUCACAGCUCUACCCUAAUCUCGGUGAAGGUAGUAUUUCAUUGCAGCUCUGCUCUAAACUCAAGGAAGGUAUCUUCUUCCUUGUGUCGUCGUAGCUUUGCUCGAGACAGAAUUUCAGAUUUUGAAGAUACAAGUAACAAGUGAAGAUACAAGUUUAGAAGAUACUCAAACUCAUUAUUAUUUUGCUAUGAAUGUUAUAGAAUAUUUAAUAGUGUAGUCAAACUCAGAUGCUGGCUAUUUUUUUUAAUUAAGCAAAUAUUGAAACUAACUUCUGGGAUGCUAACUAAUUUAUUGCAAUAAAUCUCUGUCUCUUCCUCUCUCUA